GACAGGGGAAGUGGAAGCCCUUCCGCUUUUGAAGGUGUGUGUUUUUUAUUUCUCACUGCUCAGAUGCCAUGGUUACAAGCACUAUGGAACACAAACCAGCGGCAUCAGUCAUAGGAGACUUCAGAACAUAAAUAUUGAGGAGGCUUUUCUCAGCUGACUUCGCCAGUUAGGCAAUAAAAACCCUACCUUGAGAGACAUGUGACCAGUUCUUCAUUAACGUAAUUAUGGAAUUAAAUCCAGACUGCAUGAAUAGAGGAUGGAGGGAGGAGUGUCUGGUGGCAGACUCUGUCCUAGGAAAUGGAGAAGCCUUUGCUUGCUUUGAGUGUACUUACUUGAAUCUCAUGUAUAAUACAAAUUAAAGCACAAGAAGCCACUGGCUACAUUAAAUUCCUACAACUGGCAGCAAGAGCCUGGAUUUCAGGGAAGGCUUGACAGUUUUGAGAGAUGAGGAAAUGCUCUGGCCUUACAGAUUCAUUCUCCCUCUUAGUCUAAAUGAGAGUUCUUCACUGUAGUCCCCUUCCUUUUUUCCUCUGGCAAUAGGAAAGCUUUUUCAUCAGCUCCUUUGCAGCAUUUCCCCCCUUGUAUCUGUGGUAUAAAUUGAUUGAUUAUAACAGCUGUAAAUUGGUGUGUAACUGUAUAAACCCACAAAAGAUGCAGACAAUUUGUUGGCAAAUUCUCCUUUUAUCUCUUCUUCUGCCCUCAAAAAACCCUGAGAUAAUGCUUCUCCCUUCUUUGUGAAGCCUUGCUAGAACUAUACAAGAGUGAAAUGUUAUUGGUUGUUGUUAUAACAACUGGAGCUAUGAUAUUUUCAUUGCAUCUCUUAAAUUUUUUUUAAAAAUAAAUUAAUUCCAAGGUGUUAAAGCAAACAGAUAGAUUACUACUUGCCCCCCCUAGAAAUGCAGCCAGUAGACCUUAUAGCAAAAGCCGAGAACUUGGACCCACUAUCUAGCUCUUGGUAUUUAAGGCUCUACUUCAUUGGAUUAAAAGACUUUUUGAACCCAUGACCUCCUCAGCUGAGCAAGAAGAUGUUCUCCUCCUGGGUCCCAUCCAUACUGGCUUGCGUGUUUCCGUGGCCCAAGGGAGCAUGGUCCAAGCCGUGGCUAGCGGGGCAUACUCAGCAGGAGACGUGCUGGUUGGCCCGGUUGUUUUCAUCACCGGAGAAAAGAAAGAGCUGCCUGGGCAAAAGUCUCUGUGUGCUCCAAAAGCUGAACACCAGAUUUGUAAAACCCAUGUGUCUGCACCCAUGUCCUUGCGGGGUGGAGGAAGGGCUAGAAACCUGCUUCUGUGUGUGUGUGCGCACAGCUAUGCUUGGAGAUGGGCCCAUAAAUUUGAAAAAAUCCUGAAACUGGGCUCCAACUGCUGGAGAUGUCAAGACUGGUUGGCUCCUUGGGGAUGUUAUCUGUGAAGACUUUACCAUAAUGUGGCAGGGCUCUGGAUGCCAGGAUUAACCAACACUCAUCCCAGCACUCAGAAAUAAAUCCUCCUUUUUUGUGACUUGUUUCAAUAAUAUUCUGCGAAUGACAGCAUUUUGGAUGGUAAGAAAUGUAAGCUCUCUGUGUUACAGACAGGAAUGAACUGUCUGCUUAGCAAAAAUUUCCCUCAUGAUGUCUGCGUGUAUCCCCUAACCCUACUGCUGAGGGUUGGACUGAAUUUUUAUUCUUGUUUUAUUUUUCAAUUGAAAUAGAAACUGAAACAUUUAUUUAUUUGGAGAGGAAAACUCUGUAGAGAGCUACAUGAUACUUUCUAGUCAGAGACAAAGGAAGAUGUAAGUUGAUUUGGACAACGUGAAAGCUCGAUUGCCUCCUGGCCAGAGGGCUCUGACAAAAAACCUAGUAUGUGUUGCCAAGAGGUUAGGAGAAGAUUUGAGCCUUAAGUCCUCCCCAUUGACCUGGUCUAACAAGGAGCAGUUUUCCCCUGCAACAGGAGUGUUACAGAAGAGCCCUAACCUGGGGGUCUUUCAUCUCAUGGAAAUGAAGCCAAGCCAAGCUGCCUCCAGUUUUCCGGCAGCAGCAGAGAGGCUGGAGCAGCUGGAUCAGCCCAGGAUCAACCCUGGAUGUCACACCUGAAGACGGCCAGCUCAGGCAAGUGUCUGCAGCCUAAUGCUGCUGUGCGUGCAUGCUGUUGUGAGCCACAGGCUGGGCUGUGGCUGCUGUUGUCGUGUUAAGGAAACAGGCUGUGGCUUUACCUCCCUUUUGAGAGCACCUUACAGAAAGGGGUGUUUUCUGGAUGUUAAAAGCAAGGGGCUCUGUCUUAGCGUAGCAGGGUGACACUAUACAUCACAGUGUAUGUGAGCUUGCCUCGGUGAUUUUGUUGAGGUAUUGUUAUCAGAGA
Molecule: long non-coding RNA, 2331 nt
Organism: Aquila chrysaetos chrysaetos
Lineage: Eukaryota; Metazoa; Chordata; Aves; Accipitriformes; Accipitridae
Exons: 5
Source: RefSeq, a predicted model, not a curated record